UAGCCGUAAACGAUACUCGCUAGGUGUCGGCCACGGUGCGACCGUUGUCGGUGCCGUAGGGAAGCCGUGAAGCGAGCCACCUGGGAAGUACGGCCGCAAGGCUGAAACUUAAAGGAAUUGGCGGGGGAGCACGACAACGGGUGGAGCUUGCGGUUUAAUUUGGAUUCAACGCCGGAAAUCUUACCGGGACCGACAGCAACAUGAAGGCCAGGCUGAAGACUUUGCCGGAUUAGCUGAGAGGUGGUGCAUGGCGUAGUCGUG
Molecule: ribosomal RNA, 261 nt
Filed under: uncultured archaeon
Lineage: Archaea
Description: partial 16S ribosomal RNA
Rfam family: Archaeal small subunit ribosomal RNA
Source: RNAcentral